Molecule: small RNA, 1099 nt
Filed under: Malus domestica (apple)
Lineage: Eukaryota; Viridiplantae; Streptophyta; Magnoliopsida; Rosales; Rosaceae
Description: sRNA MD02G0022000
Source: RNAcentral
UCAACUCUAGCUUUCUGUCUCCAAAACGGCGAUUUUUCUCGCCCUCCGACCUUCCAUCUUUCUCUGAGGAAUUAUCCACAACGGUGCAAUUAGAUCCGAUUCAAUUUUUUACCCAGAAACGUUGGCGUUUCCUGGCUCGGAUCCUCCUCUUCUUUUUCACCCAAACCAGCUGCCCCACCUUCAAUUGAUACGGACGGAAACACCACGAAUUGAGCCGCAACACCAAUACUGUAACAAUUAUAAGAAAAGAGCUCCAAACCCGCAAAGCAGCCGCAUCCUCUGAGGAAACCGUGUUGGAACAGAACUGUAUUUGUGCAGAUCUUGCAAACGUAUUUGAAGUGUUGUUGCCACAACUUCUGCUGUAUCCCAAUCCUUCUGACGCUUUAAACGGAGAGGCUGCAGCUUUAAUGAUGUGUUACCAAGCUGCUUAUGAACAAAGAGUUAAAGCAAUUGUCAUUGGACGUGCGUUCGAGCCUCAGGUUUUCCCAAAAUUAGAUCGUUUCUAAUUCCGUUCUGCAAUCAUGUUGUGUUUGUCUGUUUUUAAUUGUUGGUGCAAGCUUGAAGGAGAUUGUGAAAAAUUGGACUGACUCCUCCAACAAAUCUGUCAACCACCUCCUUGCCCAAGAAAACUCAAGUACAUAUCUCGAAAGCUUUUUGUCCAGCCCUGAACAUUUGCUUUCCACAAGAAGAAUUUGGUUUGGUCAACCUUUAAUGCCUUAUUGUCGGAUUAAGUUAAAGGUGGUACAAUAGUUCUAUCCGAUGAUGGUCGCUAUUUUUCAAAGUCAAAGGAUGCUGUGGAAUUUCAAGAUUGAAAACCGCUGGCUUUCAAUCUUUUAAAACAAAUUACCUUUGUAAGACCAUCUCCAAACCUGGGCUAAAAGUCAAAUUACCCCCCAAACACUCUCCAACCCAUGUUAAAAUUUUAGGCUAAAUGCCAAAUGUUAUUUCUGGGCCAAAUACCCCCCCCCCAGCUUUCCCCCUGUGCUAAAUGGCAAAUGUUUAUUGGAAUUUAAAUUUUUUUUAGAUUAAAAUGUUCAUAAAAUUAAUUUACAAUAAUCUACAUAUUUAUUUUUAAAAAAAAUUGAUUUAAGAAAAAAAU